RNAcentral lists this ribosomal RNA (253 nucleotides) under uncultured bacterium. RNAcentral describes it as "partial 16S ribosomal RNA". It matches the Rfam family "Bacterial small subunit ribosomal RNA", at positions 524 to 776 of the family's 1533-position model. The record is from RNAcentral.
UACGUAGGGGGCUAGCGUUGUCCGGAAUCAUUGGGCGUAAAGCGCGCGUAGGCGGCCUGGUAAGUCCGCUGUGAAAGUCAAAGGCUCAACCUUUGAAUGUCAGCGGAUACUGCCAGGCUAGAGUCCGGAAGAGGCGAGUGGAAUUCCUGGUGUAGCGGUGGAAUGCGCAGAUAUCAGGAGGAACACCAACGGCGAAGGCAGCUCGCUGGGACGGUACUGACGCUGAGGCGCGAAAGCGUGGGGAGCAAACAGG